RNAcentral lists this ribosomal RNA (356 nucleotides) under uncultured Nostoc sp. RNAcentral's name for it is "bacterial SSU rRNA". It matches the Rfam family "Bacterial small subunit ribosomal RNA", at positions 350 to 720 of the family's 1533-position model. The record is from RNAcentral. Lineage: Bacteria; Bacillati; Cyanobacteriota; Cyanophyceae; Nostocales; Nostocaceae.
AGCAGUGGGGAAUUUUCCGCAAUGGGCGAAAGCCUGACGGAGCAAUACCGCGUGAGGGAGGAAGGCUCCUGGGGUGUAAACCUCUUUUCUCAGGGAAGAACACAAUGACGGUACCUGAGGAAUAAGCAUCGGCUAACUCCGUGCCAGCAGCCGCGGUAAUACAGAGGAUGCAAGCGUUAUCCGGAAUGAUUGGGCGUAAAGCGUCCGCAGGUGGCUGUGUAAGUCUGCUGUCAAAGAGCGAAGCUCAACUUCGUACAGGCAGUGGAAACUACACAGCUAGAGUGCGGUAGGGGCAGAGGGAAUUCCUGGUGUAGCGGUGAAAUGCGUAGAGAUCAGGAAGAACACCGGCGGCGAAG